RNAcentral lists this long non-coding RNA (453 nucleotides) under Ananas comosus (pineapple). RNAcentral describes it as "long non-coding RNA (ACOM_LNC012284)". The record is from RNAcentral. Lineage: Eukaryota; Viridiplantae; Streptophyta; Magnoliopsida; Poales; Bromeliaceae.
CAAUCCAUACAAUGCGCGAAGUUCCAACCAGGAACAGCAUACAAACAAAGAUUACAUUUUACAUAUUACAUCUAUAUUUUUACUUCCAAAUACAAUCCAGAUUUUACAAUUAUUACAACAUGGUUCUUUACAUUCUUUACAUCCCUAAGUAGCCGACUCAGGGUACUACUAUCUCUGGUCUCAGUGGUAGGGCGCUAUCUAUGGAGCUGUGCCCUUUCCUCGUGCCGCCGCGCCGCUCGCGUGUGAACCUGAAAUCCCCAAAACAACGUAGGGUGAGAACUAUUGUUCAUAGUUUUCAGUGGGUACGGCCACUCAAGGGAAGAGCUCGACCUACCAGGUCCAAAGUAGGCACUGCAAACAUGUUAGUGCAACAGAUAUAUAUAUAACAUCAUAUAAAUCAUGUUCAUGCCUCACAACAUGCAACUAUGCAAAUCAUGCAACUAUGCAAAUCAU